This 1017-nucleotide long non-coding RNA is filed under the name Oryctolagus cuniculus (rabbit). RNAcentral describes it as "lncRNA (ENSOCUG00000036615.1)". The record is from RNAcentral. Lineage: Eukaryota; Metazoa; Chordata; Mammalia; Lagomorpha; Leporidae.
GCAGCAGCGGGGAGAGGGCAGCCCCCUGGCUUGAGGGGUGAUGGGGCCGGCGGGAUUUCCUGGUGGGGCCCUCCCGGCUCGCUGACCCCUCGCUGUCUGACCCCGGUACCCAGCGAACCCGGGCCCCCGACGGGAGGGCCCGCGGCGGCCCAAGUCCUGGAAGAAAGGGACGCCGGAGAGGAGGAGGUCGGGGUGGCAAGGGGGCGGGGGGUAACUCACCUCGGCGCAGCCAGCCGCGGCGUGGGCAGGCCCGGGAGGGGCGAGGGCGCGGCCCGCUCAGCCGCCCGCCGCAGGACGGUCCUGGGCGCCCGGCUCGCCUGCGCUCCGCCCGCCUGCCCGAUCCCAAAUUGCUCAAUCUGCGGGCGGCUCACGCCCUCCGGGGCCGGCGCCCCACCCGGCGCAUCGGCCCUCUGGGGCGGCUCGGGCGGCCCUGACUCCCCGCAGCCCACGAGCGCACAGCCGCAGCCCGGCGGCCGCCGCGGCUCUCCGCCCUGCGCUCGCGCUCUGCUUCGCGCCUCCGCUCGGCCCGAGCUCCCGGCCCGGAGAGGGGCCAGUCCUCCGCUCGCACGAGGGAGGGAAUCCCCCCCACCCCUUCGCGGUCCCACCCCCGAGCCGGCCCCCCUGCCUGGGAUCCGCAAGAAAAAACGGACUGGAGCGCCGGGCCCCGGACUCCGCAGCCCCCUCCCGCACGCCCCGGCCCGACUCUGGCGCGCUCAGCUCGGGGCGCGGGGCUGGCUCCGGACCUGGCACGCACCCUCCAGCCCCUCCCCGUGCCCUGCACCCUGGGGAUUCCACGCAGCCAGAGCACCGGCGGCAGCUCCACGCAUCUUGGGGGUCAGAGCAGGGCCUCGGAUGCCCGCAAAACCUGUUUCCCCAUCAGGAACUUGGAAAGUAGUUAAGGGGCAGGCCACAAAGACCCUUGUCUUGACCACAACCUUCUCCCCUUCAGGGUCAAAUCUGCAGAGCAUCUUGAAGGUUCAGAAGCAAUUCCAAGCUGGGCACCCAGGUGAAUGCUAA